Dreissena polymorpha is the source of this 991-nucleotide long non-coding RNA. RefSeq lists it as uncharacterized. NCBI's taxonomy places the organism in Eukaryota, Metazoa, Mollusca, Bivalvia, Myida, Dreissenidae. The transcript has 4 exons. The record is from RefSeq and is a predicted model, not a curated record.
AACAACAACAACAACAAAUAUGGCGGAAUCUGUAUUGUCAAACACGGAAGAAGAAGGAUACAACCAUAAUUAAACCAAGAAGUAUAUGAAGAAGGGAUCACUGGAUUUUGUCACUUUGGUACAAGAAACAGAAAAGGAUAUCAUAGACCACCUUACUUAUACGGAAACAUAGGAGCUGUUGAAGGAAAUUGCUGCCAGACAGUCAACAGUUAUCACUGACAGCCUGUCCUGGCCCAGCUGGGACCAUCCUCAAGCUAACCAUGAUGAUGUGUUUGCAAGAAUUGUCCAUUUGGUAGAACAUGAUGAAGACGAGCUUUGUUGUGGCAUGGCCUGACAAUACUGUACAAGCCAGAGACCAAAAAAGGGUUAAGUGGUGACUGAUCCUCUCACCCUCCUUAUCCAGGAAACGUUUCGGAACAACGUGUUGGCACUGAAGAUAUGGAGGACACAGAUUGAUCACAGUACAUCCUUUGGAUACAUGAACACCUUCAACGGGACGACAACAAAACUGUACCUGCCUUUUUUUUGAAAGAAAGUAGUUAAUACAAUUAUUGUUAACAGCUUUUUUAGUCUUGUUGUUUAAGAAUGCUUGCAACAUUUAAGUGGAUAAACGGUUGUUUUAAAUUUGAAGCUUCAGUAAUGCAUUCUUUAUUAAAUGAUGUAAUCUUAUUUCUUUCAAUAUAGUGUAAAUAAUAAGAACAUAGUUAUCCUUUGUAUACAAAAUGAAAACCAAGUUUACUGUUCUAUUAAUCAUUAUUUAUUUAUCUUGUUCUUUUGUCAGAAAUAUUACAGGGGCAUACAUACAGUAUUCCUUAAAUAAAAGGGGCAGUUCUUAGAAAAUUAACAUGUAUUUUAGCAAUGCAUAUUCAAACUUUUUCCACAUUUAUAACCAGCAACAAUAUGUAAGUAUUAUAAUGUAACACAAAUUAAUACUAUGAAUUUACUACUGAUUUUGCCGUGCCUGUCAUCAAAUAAACAUGUUUUACUGAAA